Molecule: unclassified non-coding RNA, 247 nt
Filed under: uncultured fungus
Lineage: Eukaryota; Fungi
Description: partial contains 5.8S ribosomal RNA, internal transcribed spacer 2, and large subunit ribosomal RNA
Rfam family: 5.8S ribosomal RNA (bases 1-52)
Source: RNAcentral
AACGCACAUUGCGCCCGCCAGUAUUCUGGCGGGCAUGCCUGUCCGAGCGUCAUUUCCACCAUCAAGCCCCCGGGCUUGUGUUGGGGACCUGCGGCUGCCCGCAGGCCCUGAAAACCAGUGGCGGGCUCGCCGACACUCCGAGCGCAGUAGUAUCUAUCUCGCUCAGGGCGUGUCGCGGGUUCUGGCCGUUAAACCCCAACCCCAAAAGGUUGACCUCGGAUCAGGUAGGAAGACCCGCUGAACUUAA